GACGAACGCUGGCGGCGUGCUUAACACAUGCAAGUCGAACGGAAAGGCCCUGCUUUUGUGGGGUGCUCGAGUGGCGAACGGGUGAGUAACACGUGAGUAACCUGCCCUUGACUUUGGGAUAACUUCAGGAAACUGGGGCUAAUACCGGAUAGGAGCUCCUGCUGCAUGGUGGGGGUUGGAAAGUUUCGGCGGUUGGGGAUGGACUCGCGGCUUAUCAGCUUGUUGGUGGGGUAGUGGCUUACCAAGGCUUUGACGGGUAGCCGGCCUGAGAGGGUGACCGGCCACAUUGGGACUGAGAUACGGCCCAGACUCAUACGGGAGGAAGCAGUGGGGAAUAUUGCACAAUGGGCGGAAGCCUGAUGCAGCAACGCCGCGUGCGGGAUGACGGCCUUCGGGUUGUAAACCGCUUUCGCCUGUGACGAAGCGUGAGUGACGGUAAUGGGUAAAGAAGCACCGGCUAACUACGU
This 467-nucleotide ribosomal RNA is filed under the name uncultured bacterium. Its description in RNAcentral is "partial 16S ribosomal RNA". It matches the Rfam family "Bacterial small subunit ribosomal RNA", at positions 28 to 506 of the family's 1533-position model. The record is from RNAcentral.